AGCGAACGCUGGCGGCAGGCCUAACACAUGCAAGUCGAACGAACUCUUCGGAGUUAGUGGCGGACGGGUGAGUAACACGUGGGAACGUGCCUUUAGGCUCGGAAUAACUCAGGGAAACUUGUGCUAAUACCGAAUGUGCCCUUCGGGGGAAAGAUUUAUCGCCUUUAGAGCGGCCCGCGUCGGCUUAGCUAGUGGGUGUGGUAAAGGCCCACCAAGGCGACGAUCAGUAGCUGGUCUGAGAGGAUGAUCAGCCACAUUGGGGCUGAGACACGGCCCAAACUCCUACGGGAGGCGGCAGUGGGUGAUCUUGCGCAAUGGGCGGAAUCCUGACGGAGCCAUGCCGCGUGAAUGAUGUAGGUCUUAGGAUUGUAAAAUUCUUUCACCGGGGACGAUAAUGACGGUACCCGGAGAAGAAGCCCCGGCUAACUUCGUG
This 433-nucleotide ribosomal RNA is filed under the name uncultured bacterium. Its description in RNAcentral is "partial 16S ribosomal RNA". It matches the Rfam family "Bacterial small subunit ribosomal RNA", at positions 29 to 507 of the family's 1533-position model. The record is from RNAcentral.